Molecule: ribosomal RNA, 253 nt
Filed under: uncultured bacterium
Lineage: Bacteria
Description: partial 16S ribosomal RNA
Rfam family: Bacterial small subunit ribosomal RNA
Source: RNAcentral
UACGAAGGGGGCUAGCGUUGUUCGGAUUUACUGGGCGUAAAGCGCACGUAGGCGGAUCGUUAAGUCGGGGGUGAAAUCCUGGAGCUCAACUCCAGAACUGCCUUCGAUACUGUAGAGCUUGAGUUCGGGAGAGGUGAGUGGAACUGCGAGUGUAGAGGUGAAAUUCGUAGAUAUUCGCAAGAACACCAGUGGCGAAGGCGGCUCACUGGCCCGAUACUGACGCUGAGGUGCGAAAGCGUGGGGAGCAAACAGG